CUACCAAAUUACGAAUACAGACCCAAGUUCGUGUGCUCACUGAUAACAAGCUGCAACAUUAUUUCAUUUCAUUUUUUUCCUCCAAACGAACGUCAAAACCAAAAUAUCAUAACGAGACCGUAUGGUGUACAUUUUAUAUUUAUUACACGCAUAAUAUUACAAUGUUUAAACGUGAUAAUACUGAAUGUCAUGCAAUCCCGUUCUUUAAUGAUAGGUCGAUGAAUUGCGUAGUCCCGAGAGAAAAAAAGGAACCGAAGACUGAAAUAGCGAGGAGAGAAAGGAAAUGGAAGCGAUAAAAUUCGAAGAAAACCGAAAACGUACACAUGCUACAAUAUGUAUACAUAUUAUUAUUAUAUACCGACGACUGCAAAAAUAUGUAAUGCUUUUAUAAAUACAAAUAUUAUACAACAUUGUUAAUAUGUUUUAAUGUUUUAUUUCAUACAUGCGUGACGGCGGGACCGGAUGCAAUUUUAAGAAAAAAAACAGUGUUAUGUCGUGCAGUGUGUCACAAAAAUACCGAUACUCUUCUGGUACACAGAAACCUACGCAUAACGAAAUGAUUUAGUAUUUUUAAACCAAGUAUGUUUGAUUGUCAAAAGUGCAUUGUCCAGCAUAGUCUAUUCGAUAUGCAAUAUACAAUACAAAGCAACAGAUUGUGCCGAAAAUCUAAAAUAUGAUUCUAUUAUUUGUGGCGUCAAUAAAUAUCUACAACUAAUAUGCUUGAGGGUUAUUUAGAAAAAUAUUUUGGUUAAUACGAAAAUGACCAAUUUAACAGGAUAU
Long non-coding RNA from Rhopalosiphum padi (bird cherry-oat aphid), 780 nucleotides. RefSeq lists it as uncharacterized. The record is from RefSeq and is a predicted model, not a curated record. Lineage: Eukaryota; Metazoa; Arthropoda; Insecta; Hemiptera; Aphididae. The transcript has 3 exons.